RNAcentral lists this ribosomal RNA (253 nucleotides) under uncultured bacterium. Its description in RNAcentral is "partial 16S ribosomal RNA". It matches the Rfam family "Bacterial small subunit ribosomal RNA", at positions 524 to 776 of the family's 1533-position model. The record is from RNAcentral.
UACAGAGGGGGCAAGCGUUGUUCGGAAUUACUGGGCGUAAAGGGCGCGUAGGCGGCCUUCUAAGUCGAACGUGAAAUCCCCGGGCUCAACCCGGGAACUGCGUCCGAUACUGGGAGGCUUGAAUUCGGGAGAGGGAUGCAGAAUUCCAGGUGUAGCGGUGAAAUGCGUAGAUAUCUGGAGGAAUACCGGUGGCGAAGGCGGCAUCCUGGACCGAGAUUGACGCUGAUGAGCGAAAGCUAGGGGAGCAAACGGG